RNAcentral lists this ribosomal RNA (524 nucleotides) under Corynebacterium sp. Its description in RNAcentral is "bacterial SSU rRNA". It matches the Rfam family "Bacterial small subunit ribosomal RNA", at positions 44 to 574 of the family's 1533-position model. Lineage: Bacteria; Bacillati; Actinomycetota; Actinomycetes; Mycobacteriales; Corynebacteriaceae. The record is from RNAcentral.
GGGCAGCUUACCAUGCAAGUCGAACGGAAGGCCUUGUGCUUGCACAAGGUACUCGAGUGGCGAACGGGUGAGUAACACGUGGGUGAUCUGCCCUGCACUGUGGGAUAAGCCUGGGAAACUGGGUCUAAUACCAUAUAGGACCGCAUCUUGGAUGGUGUGGUGGAAAGCUUUUGCGGUGUGGGAUGAGCCUGCGGCCUAUCAGCUUGUUGGUGGGGUAAUGGCCUACCAAGGCGGCGACGGGUAUCCGGCCUGAGAGGGUGUACGGACACAUUGGGACUGAGAUACGGCCCAGACUCCUACGGGAGGCAGCAGUGGGGAAUAUUGCACAAUGGGCGCAAGCCUGAUGCAGCGACGCCGCGUGGGGGAUGAAGGCCUUCGGGUUGUAAACUCCUUUCGCUAUCGACGAAGCCACUUUGUGGUGACGGUAGGUAAAUAAAAACCCCCGGCUAACUACUUGCCACCACCCGCGGUAAUACGUAGGUUGCAACCUUUGCCCGGAAUUACGGGGCUUAAGAACCUCGAAG